RNAcentral lists this ribosomal RNA (803 nucleotides) under Streptococcus parauberis. RNAcentral's name for it is "bacterial SSU rRNA". It matches the Rfam family "Bacterial small subunit ribosomal RNA", at positions 10 to 796 of the family's 1533-position model. Lineage: Bacteria; Bacillati; Bacillota; Bacilli; Lactobacillales; Streptococcaceae. The record is from RNAcentral.
AGUUUGAUCCUGGCUCAGGACGAACGCUGGCGGCGUGCCUAAUACAUGCAAGUAGAACGCUGAAGACUGGUGCUUGCACUAGUCAGAUGAGUUGCGAACGGGUGAGUAACGCGUAGGUAACCUACCUCAUAGCGGGGGAUAACUAUUGGAAACGAUAGCUAAUACCGCAUGACAAUUAAGUACUCAUGUACUAAAUUUAAAAGGAGCAAUUGCUUCACUAUGAGAUGGACCUGCGUUGUAUUAGCUAGUUGGUGAGGUAACGGCUCACCAAGGCCACGAUACAUAGCCGACCUGAGAGGGUGAUCGGCCACACUGGGACUGAGACACGGCCCAGACUCCUACGGGAGGCAGCAGUAGGGAAUCUUCGGCAAUGGGGGCAACCCUGACCGAGCAACGCCGCGUGAGUGAAGAAGGUUUUCGGAUCGUAAAGCUCUGUUGUUAGAGAAGAACGGUAAUGGGAGUGGAAAAUCCAUUACGUGACGGUAACUAACCAGAAAGGGACGGCUAACUACGUGCCAGCAGCCGCGGUAAUACGUAGGUCUCGAGCGUUGUCCGGAUUUAUUGGGCGUAAAGCGAGCGCAGGCGGUUAUUUAAGUCUGAAGUUAAAGGCCGUGGCUCAACCAUGGUUCGCUUUGGAAACUGGAUAACUUGAGUGCAGAAGGGGAGAGUGGAAUUCCAUGUGUAGCGGUGAAAUGCGUAGAUAUAUGGAGGAACACCGGUGGCGAAAGCGGCUCUCUGGUCUGUAACUGACGCUGAGGCUCGAAAGCGUGGGGAGCAAACAGGAUUAGAUACCCUGGUAGUCC